Molecule: ribosomal RNA, 406 nt
Filed under: uncultured bacterium
Lineage: Bacteria
Description: partial 16S ribosomal RNA
Rfam family: Bacterial small subunit ribosomal RNA
Source: RNAcentral
AUUGAACGCUGGCGGCAGGCCUAACACAUGCAAGUCGAACGAGUGGCGGACGGGUGAGUAAUGUCUGGGAAACUGCCUGAUGGGGGGGGAUAACUACUGGAAACGGUAGCUAAUAACGCAUACCAUCGGAUGUGCCCAGAUGGGAUUAGCGAGUAGGUGGGGGAACGGCUCACCUAGGCGACGAUCCCUAGCUGGUCUGAGAGGUGGACCAGCCACAUUGGAACUGAGACACGGUCCAGACGCCUACGGGAGGCAGCAGUGGGGAAUAUUGCACAAUGGGGGCAAGCCUGAUGCAGCCAUGCCGCGUGGAUGAAGAAGGCCUUGGGGUGGUAAAGUACUUUCAGCGGGGAGGCGUUACCCGAAGAAGAAGCACCGGCUAACUCCGUGCCAGCAGCCGCGGUAAUAC